UUAGAGGAAGAAAAAUAGAAGGAUAAGAGGAAGAAAAAAAUAAUUAUAUUUGUAAUAUUUCAAUACAUGUCAAUAUAUACUCCUUAAAAAAAAGAAUAAAAAGAGGAAAGGGAAGAGAAAACAAUUGCUAUAGAAUUGUUCAAGUGAAUGAAAUAUUUUGUAAAUUAAAUUCCCGCAGUUUCUUUCAAGUCUCUUUUAUCUCUUUCAAUUUUAGCCU
This 217-nucleotide long non-coding RNA is filed under the name Lathyrus oleraceus (garden pea). Its description in RNAcentral is "Pisum sativum (pea) long non-coding RNA (PSAT_LNC001067)". The record is from RNAcentral. Lineage: Eukaryota; Viridiplantae; Streptophyta; Magnoliopsida; Fabales; Fabaceae.